This 435-nucleotide unclassified non-coding RNA is filed under the name Bombus terrestris (buff-tailed bumblebee). Its description in RNAcentral is "misc RNA ENSBTSG00005032115.1". Lineage: Eukaryota; Metazoa; Arthropoda; Insecta; Hymenoptera; Apidae. The record is from RNAcentral.
AUAGGUGGAAGAGGAGUGUCAUCGUAGCUCGUUUACCGUCACCUGAUGCCUAGUGGUCUUAUUUGUACGCGGAUCGGUUAACACGUCGAUCGUCCGCGAUGAUCGUACCAAAGGACGUUUUACAAUUCAUUUAGAACGAUCGAGAGAAGAUCGAGUUCCUCGACUAAUCAAUUUUCAACGAUGCGAGCAAUUUGGACAAACAUCGUCGGAAGGAUGUACGUGAAUAUCGUGUGAUAUUUUGCCAAGAUUAAACGUUAUGGCGAAGUAUACUUCGAAGUAUCGCGGCAGCAAGAUGUACGCGAUCACGAAAUUCGAAAACGAAGUAUGGAGAGGAAUUGCGACCAUGGUAAACAGCAUGGACGAUGCGAGAACCGUCGAUUACUCGCGGAUAUUCCAGAUGACAGAAGCGGAAAAAGAAAGACGAAGACACCGAGG